UAAAAGUUUUAUUUUGGUUUUAUAUUUAAUUAAUUAAUUUAUAUAUAUGUAAAUUUUAGUGAAAAGAUUAUUUAAAAAAUAAUUAAUUACAGCAGUAUAAAAUUUUAAAUAUUAAAUAAUUUUAGAUUUAGAAAUUUAAUUUAGUAUAGACAAAAUUUGUGCCAGCAGUUGCGGUUAUACAAAUUAUGCAAAUUAAAUUUAUUUAAUGUAAUUAAAUAAUUUAUUUAUAAUUUAUAUUUAGAUUUUUUAGGUGAAAUUUUAAAUUUAAACUAAAUUAUUUUAUUUUAUUUGAAGUUACGAAAUUUAGUAUUAAACUAGGAUUAGAUACCCUAUUAUUUUAAAUGUAAAUUAUUAAAUUAAAAUUAUUAAAAGUUAAGUUCUUUAAAGUUAAAAAUUUUGGCGGUAUUUUAGUCUUUUCAGAGGAACCUGUUCUAUAAUUGAUGAUCCACGAUUAAAGUUACUUUAUUUAGAAAUUUAUAUAUCGCUGUAGAUUGAAUAUUUUAUAAGAAUUUAAAUAUUCAAAACUUAUAAUUAUAAGAGAAUUCAAGUCAAGGUGUAGUUUAUAAUAAAGAAAGAAUGGGUUACAUUAUAAUUUAUAUUUGGUUAUAAUAUUAAAAAUUUUAUAUAAAUUGGAUUUGAAAGUAAUAUUUUAAAUUUAUAAAAUAUGAUUUUGCUCUAAAAUAUGCACAUAUCGCCCGUCGCUUUCGUUAUAAAAUGAAAUAAGUCGUAACAAAGUAGACUUAUUGGAAAAUGUGUCUAGAAUGAC
Molecule: non-coding RNA, 766 nt
Filed under: Tenebrionoidea sp. 12 KM-2017
Lineage: Eukaryota; Metazoa; Arthropoda; Insecta; Coleoptera
Source: RNAcentral